This 465-nucleotide ribosomal RNA is filed under the name uncultured bacterium. RNAcentral describes it as "partial 16S ribosomal RNA". It matches the Rfam family "Bacterial small subunit ribosomal RNA", at positions 28 to 507 of the family's 1533-position model. The record is from RNAcentral.
GAUGAACGCUGGCGGCGUGCUUAACACAUGCAAGUCGAACGGAAAGGCCCAAGCUUGCUUGGGUACUCGAGUGGCGAACGGGUGAGUAAAACGUGGGUGAUCUGCCCUGCACUUCGGGAUAAGCCUGGGAAACUGGGUCUAAUACCGGAUAGGACCACAUUUUGGAUGGUGUGGUGGAAAGUUUUUCGGUGUGGGAUGAGCUGGCGGCCUAUUAGCUUGUUGGUUGUGUAAUGGCCUACCAAGGGGGCGACUGAUAGACGGCCUGAGAAGGUGUACGGGCACAUUGGUACUAAGGGAGGGCCCAGAAGCCAACGGGAGGCAGUGGGGGAGAAUAUGACGCAGUGGCGGCAAGCCUGAUGCGGCGAUGCCGGGUUGGUGAUAACAACCUACGGGGGAUGAACAACUUUCGAAAGGGACGAAACGGUAGUGACGGUACCUGGAGAAGAAGCACCGGCUAACUACGUG